AGCGCAGGCGGCCAAGUUAGUCCAAAGUGAAAUCCCGGGGCUCAACCUCGGACGUGCUUUGGAUACUGCUUGGCUUGAGUACGUGAGAGGUAAGCGGAAUUCCAGGUGUAGCGGUGAAAUGCGUAGAUAUCUGGAGGAACACCGGUGGCGAAAGCGGCUUACUGGCACGAGACUGACGCUGAGGCUCGAAAGCGUGGGGAGCGAACGGGAUUAGAUACCCCGGUAGUCCACGCCGUAAACGUUGUGCACUAGGUGUAGGAGGUAUCGACCCCUCCUGUGCCGUAGCUAACGCAUUAAGUGCACCGCCUGGGGAGUACGCUCGCAAGAGUGAA
This 332-nucleotide ribosomal RNA is filed under the name uncultured Desulfobacca sp. RNAcentral describes it as "bacterial SSU rRNA". It matches the Rfam family "Bacterial small subunit ribosomal RNA", at positions 568 to 898 of the family's 1533-position model. Lineage: Bacteria; Pseudomonadati; Thermodesulfobacteriota; Desulfobaccia; Desulfobaccales; Desulfobaccaceae. The record is from RNAcentral.